GGAGUUAGCCGGUGCUUCUUCUGUGAGUGAUGUCCUUCCUGCCGGUUAUUGACCCGCAGGCCUUCUUCCUCACUGAAAGUGCUUUACAACCCGAAGGCCUUCUUCACACACGCGGCAUGGCUGGAUCAGGGUUGCCCCCAUUGUCCAAUAUUCCCCACUGCUGCCUCCCGUAGGAGUCUGGGCCGUGUCUCAGUCCCAGUGUGGCUGAUCAUCCUCUCAGACCAGCUACGGAUCGUCGCCUUGGUGAGCCGUUACCUCACCAACCAGCUAAUCCGACAUAGGCUCAUCCGAUAGCGCGAGGCCCGAAGGUCCCCCGCUUUCCCCCGUAGGGCGUAUGCGGUAUUAGCCUGGGUUUCCCCAGGUUAUCCCCCACUACCGGGCAGAUUCCUAUGCAUUACUCACCCGUCCGCCGCUCGCCACCAGGGAGCAAGCUCCCCGUGCUGCCGCUCGACUUGCAUGUGUAGCGUCGCCGCCACGCGUCAUCUGAGCCACUGAUACAACUACUCGA
RNAcentral lists this ribosomal RNA (508 nucleotides) under uncultured bacterium. RNAcentral describes it as "partial 16S ribosomal RNA". The record is from RNAcentral.